RNAcentral lists this ribosomal RNA (253 nucleotides) under uncultured bacterium. RNAcentral's name for it is "partial 16S ribosomal RNA". It matches the Rfam family "Bacterial small subunit ribosomal RNA", at positions 524 to 776 of the family's 1533-position model. The record is from RNAcentral.
UACGUAGGGCGCAAGCGUUAUCCGGAAUUAUUGGGCGUAAAGAGCUCGUAGGCGGUUUGUCGCGUCUGCCGUGAAAGUCCGGGGCUCAACUCCGGAUCUGCGGUGGGUACGGGCAGACUAGAGUGAUGUAGGGGAGACUGGAAUUCCUGGUGUAGCGGUGAAAUGCGCAGAUAUCAGGAGGAACACCGGUGGCGAAGGCGGUGGUCUGGGCCGGCACUGACGCUGAGGAGCGAAAGCGUGGGGAGCGAACAGG